Molecule: long non-coding RNA, 3273 nt
Organism: Gambusia affinis (western mosquitofish)
Lineage: Eukaryota; Metazoa; Chordata; Actinopteri; Cyprinodontiformes; Poeciliidae
Exons: 8
Source: RefSeq, a predicted model, not a curated record
ACUGUAAAUAAGUCAAACGCAGAGACAUAUUUGUUUGCUCCUCUUUCCCGAAGUCAACAUGAAUGACUACAUUUAUACACUUAAACAUUUUUCUAACGCGGAUUUUCAGUCGAAGCAGGAAAUAAUAAGUAAAGGAGCUGAAAGGUCCAAACGGAAAGAAAACACAGGGUUUGUGAACGUCCUGCUGGAAACGGCCUUUUCCUGCCUCCUUUUCUCAACUCGUGUCCAGGACAGACUUGGCUUUGGAUGAACGGAUAUAUUUGUUCGGAAUGAGCGGCUUUAUUUAUAAGGUCAGCAGGGACGGAAAGGUCAAAGGUUUGUGGCGUACAUGAUUUGUUAUCUGUGCGAGUCUCCAGCUGGAACUUGAACUAAGCCGUCUUCUUCCUGAUGUUUGAAAAUUAGCCGCUGUUAACUGACCAGCAGUGACCGGUUUGUUCCCAGCGGUCUCAGUAACCGUCCCACCAGUCCGUGGGUCCGUCUGAGCAUCAGAUCCCGUCCAUCAUCAUGGACGCUCAGCUGUGAUCCUGGGCUUCCUGCUCUGUCUGACAGGUCAGAGGUCGUUUCCAUCCACCGCUGAGAAAACUGGUCAAAAGUCACAGAAAGAAAAAAGUGAAUAGUUUGGAUUUAAAUGAGAAAAUCUUAUUCAGAAAAAGUUGCUGCGUUUCUAUAAACUCUAUAAUAGUUAAAUGUGACAUUUCAAAAAUAAUGGAAAUUCAGAAAGUUAAAAACAGUUUUGUUUUUUUUGCUCAAAAGUUUUGCUGCUUGUAUAUUGAUUUUAUGGAAACAUUUCUUUGUAUCACUGAUCAUUAACCAGCUGUUGCUACUGCUGGAAACCACACAAACUUAUUUCCUCGUGUUUUUACAGAAGCGACACGUUGUGACAAAGUCUGUCACGUUUUGUUAUUGUUUUGUUUCCAUCAGCCUUUUCUAACGUGACGCAUUAAAACUCCACAGAGAACGGUUCCGUGGUGAAGACCGGACUCACUGACCUCUGCUCCGUUUGCAGCUCCGCUUUACCGGGCGAGGAAGAGGAGGGUCCAGGAGGACGAAGCUCCUCCAGUCUGCCCAGCGAGGAUCCGAACCGGUCCCAUCAACGUCGUUCUCUUCCGUUUGUGAAGCGUGAAAACAGAGGCUAACCGCGGAGCGAGCAGCUUCUGUCCUCACGCCGCCAGACUCUGAAAGUUUUCCCUCUCAGCCUGUUGGAGGUUUGAAACAAGGCCUCUCUGAAGAAAAGCAGCGACGACCAGGUCCAUCAGGGUUUAUCGGUCAGCAGAAACCUCGGCCUUCCUGACCCGUUAGAUCGCUAUAAAACCGUCGCAGUGAAGACGUACAACUUGCUCUGUUUUACCGUGUCUGGAACAGAAUAAUCUAGUGUCUAGAUAGUGACUAACAUUUGCGUUUCAAUUAUGUGAUUGAAGUGUUUUCGAAACAUUUAGGAUUGAAGAUUAAAAACUUAAAACAUUGUUUGUGUGUAAAUUUUUUCCACCAGAAAUCCUCCAGUUCAGUUGUAGCUUCACCUGAUUGACAUCCUGUAAAAACUUCAUUUCAAUCACCUUCAGCAUCCAGUUCUGAACCAGUGAAUCUAUAUAUUGAUCAGGAUCAAUACAGAUCAUCCACACUCUGUAUGGAUGUUCAGUCCAGCAGAAGUUGUUGAGCUUUUCAGAUAUUUCAGUUGCAGAUUCAUCCUUUGCUCUACAUGAUCAAACGUUCACUAAAGUAACACUGUUAUAGUUUUAGAGACUUUGUCUUUUUUUUUAAAAAGGAAUAAAAUGAUGUUUAUAGUCUUGUAUUUGUGAUAAUGUAUGAAAUCAUCUCCAGUAGCUCACGAACUGCAGAAAGUUUCAGUUUUGGAAGAUUUGGUUGUUUUGAAAUGUUAUUUGAAGACGCUGCAGGUGCAGCUUCUGUCCACUAGACGGCGACAUUCCGCAGCCUGCUGGGGACAGUUGAUGAUUUUAUUGUCUAAAUUUAGUUUUAUUGAUAUAAUUUAAGGUCAAUUAUUAUGUUUGUGAGAAGGGCUUUAUGACUAAGCUGUAUGUAUUUAUAUUUAUGUAAAAGUGACACAUUUAGGCAAAAGGUUUUAUAAAUUUCCGUUGUCUUUGCACCAAAAAAGGUUAAAAUGACCAAAGUCCCCAGAAAAUGAUGCGAAUGGACCCAAAAGCAGAAAAGUGCAGCACAAUCAUCAUAGUAAAAAUGUCAAGAAGAGACUGAAAGUGAAUGAAUCAUCCGGAGGAGGUAAUCAGCGCUGAUUGCGCUGAUUGGAGUCACCUGUGGGGAACCGGAUAAAAAGGAACGGGAUGAGCCAGAGGAGUUUAGUUGAGCUCUGGAUCAGGUUCGGUUCGGUGGGUCUCCAGGUUGCGCUCCAGAGUUUUUCAGCGUCGUUUCCAUCUGUGAGUCCACGGGUGGGUUUCAUCUGCAGCCGAGCGGCUCCUUAAAACUUCAUCUGGCGUUUGGAGCAGCGAUAGUAAAGGCUGUUUUCAGAGCAGCUUCUUUGUUGGCUUCCAGUCCGCCGCAGACAGCAGGUGAAACUGAUUGUGACCGAUUCCUGAUUCAUGGUCAAACACAGCCUCCUGGUUCGGUUCUGUGAGGUCCACCAUGUCGGACGAGCUGACAGCAGCAGAUUUAGAUUGUAGUGUUUGUGGUUCUGUUCCUGGAGGAAUAAACGGCUGAUGCCUGUGUAGCUCCUGACAGGUGAGUCUGUAAAUGUAGUAGACUUAUUGCGAAUUUAAACUUUUUAUUUUUAACAUGCUUAAAUCCCAACACAGUGAAGAGAAGCCAAAGUGUUUCAGGCAGUUAAAUGCCUUUAGUAGCACCAGACCUCUAUCGCCCCCUUAAAAUGAGACUUUAUGUUCAGUUCAGCAAACGUUUAUUUUGUGGUUAAACUCAUCAGUAACAUUGUUUUUUGUCUGCAGAGCCUGGAGGUGAACUUUGACCUGAAGCUGCCCUGGUUCAUCCUCAAUAUAAGUAAAAUGUUUAAUCAUAGUUUGUCUCCUCCAGCUUUACUUCUGCAGAUUCUCUUUGCUGAAUACCAACUGAGCCAGAUGUCCAACAGGUGUGGAACCUUGUUUCCAUGGUUACAGGCAUGGCCUGCUUAUUGAUGAUUGUUUCCAGCCUUCAUGAUCUGUACUGAAUGUUUUGCAUCUUGUGUUGAAUACAUGUGAUUGUUGCUACUUUUGAGUAGCAACAAUCACAUGUAUUGAGUUUUUUGUUUAAAUAAAAAGUAAAAACCCUGCUUGUUUCAUGUGCCUUUUCCUCUUUUAGACCCUUGAAAAGUUA